RNAcentral lists this ribosomal RNA (797 nucleotides) under Neonectria hederae. Its description in RNAcentral is "eukaryotic LSU rRNA". It matches the Rfam family "Eukaryotic large subunit ribosomal RNA", at positions 88 to 917 of the family's 3401-position model. Lineage: Eukaryota; Fungi; Ascomycota; Sordariomycetes; Hypocreales; Nectriaceae. The record is from RNAcentral.
GGCGAGUGAAGCGGCAACAGCUCAAAUUUGAAAUCUGGCCCCCGGGUCCGAGUUGUAAUUUGUAGAGGAUGCUUUUGGUGCGGUACCUUCCGAGUGCCCUGGAACGGGACGCCAUAGAGGGUGAGAGCCCCGUCUGGUUGGACGCCAAUCCUUUGUAAAGCUCCUUCGACGAGUCGAGUAGUUUGGGAAUGCUGCUCUAAAUGGGAGGUAUAUGUCUUCUAAAGCUAAAUAUUGGCCAGAGACCGAUAGCGCACAAGUAGAGUGAUCGAAAGAUGAAAAGCACUUUGAAAAGAGAGUUAAAAAGUACGUGAAAUUGUUGAAAGGGAAGCGCUCAUGACCAGACUUGGGCUUGGUUGAUCAUCCAGGGUUCUCCCUGGUGCACUCUUCCGGCCCAGGCCAGCAUCGGUUCGCUGUGGGGGACAAAGGCUUCGGGAAUGUGGCUCCCUCGGGAGUGUUAUAGCCCGUUGCGCAAUACCCUGCGGCGGACCGAGGUUCGCGCAUUCGCAAGGAUGCUGGCGUAAUGGUCAUCAGCGACCCGUCUUGAAACACGGACCAAGGAGUCGUCUUCGUAUGCGAGUGUUCGGGUGUCAAACCCCUACGCGGAAUGAAAGUGAACGCAGGUGAGAGCUUCGGCGCAUCAUCGACCGAUCCUGAUGUUCUCGGAUGGAUUUGAGUAAGAGCAUACGGGGCCGGACCCGAAAGAAGGUGAACUAUGCCUGUAUAGGGUGAAGCCAGAGGAAACUCUGGUGGAGGCUCGCAGCGGUUCUGACGUGCAAAUCGAUCGUCAAAUAUGGGCA